UCGAGAAUUUUUCACAAUGGGCGCAAGCCUGAUGGAGCGACGCCGCGUGGGGGAUGAAUGGCUUCGGCCCGUAAACCCCUGUCAUUUGCGAUCAACCGUUGUUGUUUAAGAGAUGACAACCUGAUAGUAGCGAAAGAGGAAGGGACGGCUAACUCUGUGCCAGCAGCCGCGGUAAUACAGAGGUCCCAAGCGUUGUUCGGAUUCACUGGGCGUAAAGGGUGCGGAGGUGGCAAGGUAAGUCGGAUGUGAAAUCUCCGAGCUCAACUCGGAAAUGGCAUUGGAAACUGCUUGGCUAGAGGGUUGGAGGGGGGACUGGAAUACUGGGUGUAGCAGUGAAAUGCGUAGAUAUCAAGUGGAACACCAGUGGCGAAGGCGAGUCCCUGGACAACUCCGGACACUGAGGCACGAAAGCUAGGGGAGCAAACA
RNAcentral lists this ribosomal RNA (426 nucleotides) under uncultured prokaryote. RNAcentral describes it as "bacterial SSU rRNA". It matches the Rfam family "Bacterial small subunit ribosomal RNA", at positions 355 to 774 of the family's 1533-position model. The record is from RNAcentral.